GCUGUUGCUCAGUGGUAGUUGAUCGUCUGCUUUGGAAGCAGAAGGUCCUCAGGUUCAUUCCUCAGGUUCAGCA
Molecule: non-coding RNA, 73 nt
Organism: Podarcis lilfordi (Lilford's wall lizard)
Lineage: Eukaryota; Metazoa; Chordata; Lepidosauria; Squamata; Lacertidae
Source: the annotation of a GenBank genome assembly